This 309-nucleotide long non-coding RNA is filed under the name Vigna radiata. Its description in RNAcentral is "long non-coding RNA (VRAD_LNC017807)". Lineage: Eukaryota; Viridiplantae; Streptophyta; Magnoliopsida; Fabales; Fabaceae. The record is from RNAcentral.
UUUUUUUAAUGACUAUAGGCCGCGGUUGGUUGUGAAACCACGACAUAUAACCAUAAUAUACCGCGGUUAAGUAUUUAACCGCGGUAGAUUCCCCUAUAACAGUUAAAAAAUAAAACUUUGGAACAAUAUCGUCUUCUUCGCGCAGACGCUGCUGUCUUCGACUUUCUUCUCCCGCCGAUCACCCCUCUCAGUUCCCUCGUUUCUUCACCGUUUAAACUCAAAAUUGUUCGGUCAUUUCACAUUUUUGACGAUAAGAAACAGUUUGAGCCGAUCAAAAUCGUUUGAAACACUUGUCAUUGCUCUCCGCNN